This 285-nucleotide RNase P RNA is filed under the name Candidatus Dadabacteria bacterium. Its description in RNAcentral is "partial RNase P RNA component class A". It matches the Rfam family "Bacterial RNase P class A", at positions 94 to 367 of the family's 367-position model. Rfam says of the family: Ribonuclease P (RNase P) is a ubiquitous endoribonuclease, found in archaea, bacteria and eukarya as well as chloroplasts and mitochondria. Its best characterised activity is the generation of mature 5'-ends of tRNAs by cleaving the 5'-leader elements of precursor-tRNAs. Lineage: Bacteria; Pseudomonadati; Thermodesulfobacteriota; Candidatus Dadabacteria. The record is from RNAcentral.
GCGAGGCAACGGAAAGUGCAACAGAAAACAUACCGCCAACGCCCUUCUCACGGAGGGCACGGUAAGGGUGAAAAGGCAGUGUAAGAGACUACCGCGCCGGCCGGUGACGGCUGGCGGCAUUGUAAACCCCGCUCGGUGAAAGACAAAAUAGGGAAGCGCUUUUCCUCGUGAAAAAUAUGGCGGCCCGUCAAAGCUUCCGGGUAUGUCGCUAGAGGCGUUCAGUAAUGAACGUCCCAGAUGAAUGGCUGCUCAAGACAGAAUUCGGCUUACAGGCAGGCUUGCUUC